RNAcentral lists this ribosomal RNA (903 nucleotides) under Advenella kashmirensis. RNAcentral's name for it is "bacterial SSU rRNA". It matches the Rfam family "Bacterial small subunit ribosomal RNA", at positions 36 to 928 of the family's 1533-position model. Lineage: Bacteria; Pseudomonadati; Pseudomonadota; Betaproteobacteria; Burkholderiales; Alcaligenaceae. The record is from RNAcentral.
CUAGCGGGAUGCCUUACACAUGCAAGUCGAACGGCAGCGGGAAAGUAGCUUGCUACUUUUGCCGGCGAGUGGCGAACGGGUGAGUAAUGUAUCGGAACGUGCCCAGUAGCGGGGGAUAACUACGCGAAAGCGUGGCUAAUACCGCAUACGCCCUACGGGGGAAAGGGGGGGAUCUUAGGACCUCUCACUAUUGGAGCGGCCGAUAUCGGAUUAGCUAGUUGGUGGGGUAAAGGCCUACCAAGGCGACGAUCCGUAGCUGGUUUGAGAGGACGACCAGCCACACUGGGACUGAGACACGGCCCAGACUCCUACGGGAGGCAGCAGUGGGGAAUUUUGGACAAUGGGGGAAACCCUGAUCCAGCCAUCCCGCGUGUGCGAUGAAGGCCUUCGGGUUGUAAAGCACUUUUGUCAGGGAAGAAAAGGUUUCGGAUAAUACCCGGAACUGAUGACGGUACCUGAAGAAUAAGCACCGGCUAACUACGUGCCAGCAGCCGCGGUAAUACGUAGGGUGCAAGCGUUAAUCGGAAUUACUGGGCGUAAAGCGUGCGCAGGCGGUUCGGAAAGAAAGAUGUGAAAUCCCAGGGCUCAACCUUGGAACUGCAUUUUUAACUACCGAACUAGAGUAUGUCAGAGGGGGGUGGAAUUCCACGUGUAGCAGUGAAAUGCGUAGAUAUGUGGAGGAACACCGAUGGCGAAGGCAGCCCCCUGGGAUAAUACUGACGCUCAUGCACGAAAGCGUGGGGAGCAAACAGGAUUAGAUACCCUGGUAGUCCACGCCCUAAACGAUGUCAACUAGCUGUUGGGCCCUUCGGGGCUUAGUAGCGCAGCUAACGCGUGAAGUUGACGCCUGGGGAGUACGGUCGCAAGAUUAAAACUCAAAGGAAUUGACGGGGACCCGCACAA